UGCCUAGUAACGGCGAGUGAAGCGGCAACAGCUCAAAUUUGAAAUCUGGCCCUCGCGGUCCGAGUUGUAAUUUGUAGAGGAUGCUUUGGGCGCGGCGCCUUCCGAGUUCCCUGGAACGGGACGCCAGAGAGGGUGAGGGCCCCGUACGGUUGGACGCCUAGCCUAUGUAUAGCUCCUUCGACGAGUCGAGUAGUUUGGGAAUGCUGCUCUAAAUGGGAGGUAAAUUUCUUCUAAAGCUAAAUACCGGCCAGAGACCGAUAGCGCACAAGUAGAGUGAUCGAAAGAUGAAAAGCACUUUGAAAAGAGGGUUAAAUAGCACGUGAAAUUGUUGAAAGGGAAGCGUUUGCGACCAGACCUUCUCCGGGGGGAUCAUCCGGUGUUCUCACCGGUGCACUCCCCUCGGUCUAGGCCAGCAUCGGUUUCCUUAGGGGGAUAAAGGCCUGGGGAACGUAGCUCCUUCGGGAGUGUUAUAGCCCCUUGCGUAAUACCCCUCGGGGGACCGAGGACCGCGCUUCGGCAAGGAUGCUGGCGUAAUGGUCGUCAACGACCCGUCUUGAAACACGGACCAAGGAGUCGAACAUUUGUGCGAGUGUUUGGGUGUUAAACCCUCACGCGUAAUGAAAGUGAACGGAGGUGAGAGCCCUCGCGGGUGCAUCAUCGACCGAUCCUGAUGUCUUCGGAUGGAUUUGAGUAAGAGCAUAACUGUUCGGACCCGAAAGAUAGUGAACUAUGCGUGGAUAGGGUGAAGCCAGAGGAAACUCUGGUGGAGGCUCGCAGCGGUUCUGACGUGCAAAUCGAUCGUCAAAUCUGCGCAU
RNAcentral lists this ribosomal RNA (815 nucleotides) under Hypoxylon hinnuleum. Its description in RNAcentral is "LSU rRNA". It matches the Rfam family "Eukaryotic large subunit ribosomal RNA", at positions 76 to 918 of the family's 3401-position model. The record is from RNAcentral. Lineage: Eukaryota; Fungi; Ascomycota; Sordariomycetes; Xylariales; Hypoxylaceae.